This 103-nucleotide transfer RNA is filed under the name Thiemannella venezuelensis. RNAcentral's name for it is "Planomonospora venezuelensis tRNA-Val". Lineage: Bacteria; Bacillati; Actinomycetota; Actinomycetes; Streptosporangiales; Streptosporangiaceae. The record is from RNAcentral.
GAGCGUAGUCCCAGCCCAGACCCGGUAUCGGUCCUGGUCGGGGAGUCGUUGAGAUUGCCUUACAAGCGAGAUGUCACUGGUUCGAACCCGGUAGCGCCCACCA